AGAUGUGAGGGUGAUCAGGCAGUGACAUUGGUCACUCCAUUGAUCACUAGUAUCAAUUUGACUGAUCUGACUGACUAGGCUGGUGUCCCCUCUUCCUUCAUCACUCCUUGUGCUUCCCUCUGGAAGCUACACACUUGCUCAGUCGAGGAAGAUGACUUUCCCCAUUAGAGGAGGAUUGUUCUUCAGGCAAGGGUAUAGGAGUAGCUGUGUUCUCCUGCUAGAACUUCCAGACAACUCUCAGGGUGCACUUGUAGGAGCACUUAGGUAGUCCAGCUUUCAAGACUCCACACAUAUGCAAAUAAGGAGCUGCAGGUUGCAGUCUGCCUUUCUUU
This 332-nucleotide small nuclear RNA is filed under the name Mustela putorius furo (domestic ferret). Its description in RNAcentral is "7SK RNA (ENSMPUG00000022477.1)". It matches the Rfam family "7SK RNA". Rfam says of the family: 7SK was discovered as an abundant small nuclear RNA in the mid-70s but a possible function has only recently been suggested. Two independent studies have found that 7SK RNA binds the CDK9/cyclin T complex (known as elongation factor P-TEFb). The record is from Rfam by way of RNAcentral. Lineage: Eukaryota; Metazoa; Chordata; Mammalia; Carnivora; Mustelidae.